GUAUCCGGGAUUCAUUGGGUUUAAAGGGUGCGUAGGCGGCCUUUUAAGUCAGUGGUGAAAUCUUGCCGCUUAACGGUAAAAUUGCCAUUGAUACUGAAAGGCUUGAGUACAUUUGAGGUAAGCGGAAUGUGUAGUGUAGCGGUGAAAUGCUUAGAUAUUACACAGAACACCGAUUGCGUAGGCAGCUUACUAGAGGUUCACUGACGCUGAUGCACGAAAGCGUGGGGAUCAAACAGGAUUAGAUACCCUGGUAGUCCACGCCGUAAACGAUGAUAACUCGCUGUUGGCGAUACACAGUCAGCGGCUUAGCGAAAGCGUUAAGUUAUCCACCUGGGGAGUACGCUCGCAAGAGUGAAACUCAAAGGAAUUGACGGGGGCCCGCACAAGCGGAGGAACAUGUGGUUUAAUUCGAUGAUACGCGAGGAACCUUACCUGGGCUUAAAUGUGAGACGACCGCCGAAGAAAUUUGGCUUUCCGCAAGGACGACUUACAAGGUGCUGCAUGGUUGUCGUCAGCUCGUGCCGUGAGGUGUCGGGUUAAGUCCCAUAACGAGCGCAACCCUUAUGAUUAGUUGCUAACAGGUCAAGCUGAGGACUCUAGUCAGACUGCCACCGUAAGGUGUGAGGAAGGUGGGGAUGACGUCAAGUCCUCAUGGCCUUUAUGUCUAGGGCUACACACGUACUACAAUGGCCGGUACAAAGGGCAGCCACUCAGCGAUGAGGCGCUAAUCCCAUAAAGCCGGUCUCAGUCCGGAUCGCAGUCUGCAACUCGACUGCGUGAAGUUGGAAUCGCUAGUAAUCGUGGAUCAGCAUGCCACGGUGAAUACGUUCCCGGGCCUUGUACACACCGCCCGUCACACCACGAGAGUUGGUUGUUCCAGAAGCGGUUGAGCUAACUAGCAAUAGGGGCAGGCUGCCAAGGAAUGGCCGGUAAUUGGGGUGAAGUCGUAACAAGGUAACC
This 960-nucleotide ribosomal RNA is filed under the name uncultured bacterium. RNAcentral's name for it is "bacterial SSU rRNA". It matches the Rfam family "Bacterial small subunit ribosomal RNA", at positions 540 to 1501 of the family's 1533-position model. The record is from RNAcentral.